This 253-nucleotide ribosomal RNA is filed under the name uncultured bacterium. RNAcentral describes it as "partial 16S ribosomal RNA". It matches the Rfam family "Bacterial small subunit ribosomal RNA", at positions 524 to 776 of the family's 1533-position model. The record is from RNAcentral.
UACGGAGGGUGCAAGCGUUAUCCGGAUUCACUGGGUUUAAAGGGUGCGUAGGCGGGUUGGUAAGUCCGUGGUGAAAUCUCCGAGCUUAACUCGGAAACUGCCGUGGAUACUAUCAAUCUUGAAUAUCGUGGAGGUAAGCGGAAUACGUCAUGUAGCGGUGAAAUGCUUAGAGAUGACAUAGAACACCAAUUGCGUAGGCAGCUUACUACACGAUCAUUGACGCUGAGGCACGAAAGCGUGGGGAGCAAACAGG